UACGUAGGGGGCAAGCGUUAAUCGGAAUUACUGGGCGUAAAGCGGGCGUAGGCGGUUAGUUAAGCUGGAUGUGAAAGCCCAGGGCUCAACCUUGGAACUGCAUUCAGAACUGGCUGGCUAGAGUACGAGGGAGGGUAGUGGAAUUUCCUGUGUAGCGGUGAAAUGCGUAGAUAUAGGAAGGAGCAUCAGUGGCGAAGGCGACUGCCUGGCUCGAUACUGACGCUGAGGUGCGAAAGCGUGGGGAGCAAACAGG
This 253-nucleotide unclassified non-coding RNA is filed under the name uncultured Cellvibrionales bacterium. RNAcentral describes it as "contains 16S-23S intergenic spacer region". It matches the Rfam family "Bacterial small subunit ribosomal RNA", at positions 524 to 776 of the family's 1533-position model. The record is from RNAcentral. Lineage: Bacteria; Pseudomonadati; Pseudomonadota; Gammaproteobacteria; Cellvibrionales.